UCCUACGGGGGGCAGCAGUAGGGAAUUUUCGUCAAUGGGCGCAAGCCUGAACGAGCAAUGCCGCGUGAACGAGGAAGGUCUUCGGAUCGUAAAGUUCUGUUGAAGGGGAAAAAGAGCGGGGAGAGGAAAUGGUCUCCGAUUGAUAUUACCCUUCGAGGAAGUCACGGCUAACUACGUGCCAGCAGCCGCGGUAAUACGUAGGUGGCGAGCGUUAUCCGGAAUGAUUGGGCGUAAAGGGUGCGUAGGCGGCCUGCUAAGUCUGGAGUGAAAGGUACCGGCUCAACCGGUACAGGCUCUGGAAACUG
This 305-nucleotide ribosomal RNA is filed under the name uncultured bacterium. RNAcentral's name for it is "bacterial SSU rRNA". It matches the Rfam family "Bacterial small subunit ribosomal RNA", at positions 337 to 635 of the family's 1533-position model. The record is from RNAcentral.